This 6140-nucleotide long non-coding RNA is filed under the name Fragaria vesca (wild strawberry). Its description in RNAcentral is "long non-coding RNA (FVES_LNC000197)". The record is from RNAcentral. Lineage: Eukaryota; Viridiplantae; Streptophyta; Magnoliopsida; Rosales; Rosaceae.
UCUGAUGCAAGAGUAGGUAGAUGCCCAUGCUGAAUCUUGAAUGCUUCUUGUGAUUAAAAACCAUAGAUUGAUAAGAUAGAUGCCAUGUUUUAUUGGUUUGUGCGAGUCUUUUUGUUGUCGUCGAACUUCAUUGACCCUUAGAGAUUAGAUGUCAUACUUCUAAGAAUAGUUGGAUAUUAUACUCUACCAUAAGGUAGUAUUCAUGUCUUGGAGAACUUAUGUGUAUAAGUACUCUGCCAUAAGACUUAUAUGACUGGUUUUUCAACACCGGUUUAGUAGUUAGUAAUCGGAAGACUAGGAACUCAAAUAUAUAUGAUUGUGACAGUGAAGUUAGAAGCCCUAGCAUUCAUCCAUCAUUGUUUUACAACUUUUCAAAACAUUUUCUCAAUUAUCUUGUGUGACAUUCUCAAUUUGCUUGAUUUACUCUUUUCUUAUUGUAUACAAAAAUCACAAAAAUAUCUUCUUGUUUUCUUGUUAGUCGUUAGAGUAAUUUGGUCAUUAGUUAGAGUUGAAAGUUAGUUAUCUAUCCCUAGUUGGAACGACCUCGUAUUUGCAUAUAAGCUAUACUACAAACGAUUCGUGCACUUGCGAAGUUUUUAAAAUUUGACAACAGCAGUGUUCUAAAACAAGGUUGCCUAGGCGGCUUUUAGACGUUUUAAGUCUGCGCUUCAUCCUGAAAGCGCCAGUGAAUUUUCAAACCUUACUUGUACCAGGUUUUAAAUUGUAUAGUUUGUCGAAUCACCAUUUUAAAAUAACUUAAAGCUGGCAAAAAAACUAGCUAGAUGUGUUGGAAACUUUAAAUUGAGUAUUCUCAUGCUCGAUCCAUAAUUUUUUAAACACUAGUAGUCAAAUUUCUUCUCAAUCCUCCGAUCUCCUUGAUUACACCUUGGACAAAGUUGGAUGACAUCUUUUACAUAGUAUCGACAUGGCUUGUACACCGCAAAUUGAAUAAUAUAUUUAUGUAUUUUUAAUACAUAAAAAAUAUACUAAAAUAUGAAAUAAGUUCAUUACAUUGCCAAAAUUAUGUUCUAAAUUCAAUCUUUUUUUUCUUCUUUUUUGUCUAAAUUCAACACAUUGCAUAAGCAUAUUAAAAUAACAUUAAAGAGAAUUAAAUGGAAGUUAUUAAAGAGAAUCAAAUGACUAGUUCCGAUAUAUGUUGUAAAAAAAUUAGACAUCAACUUAAUAACACAACAACCCUCUAACACCUAAUAGACAAGAAAAUUUCAAUCAUUCCAUAAUUCAUCUAAACAUCUCUUUAUAAACUGUUAUAAACAUGAACGGUUUGAGUUCGACAAAAUUAUGUUCAUCCAUUGGUUUAAUCGAAUUUGAGUGCCUUAAUGAUAACCAAAUUAGCUGAAAUUUUGCAGAGAUGAUUUAUACGAGAUGUGAAAAUUCGAUUAAAAAGUAAGUGUAAAGCGGAAAUCCGCACAGUAAGAAUAAAUAAAGACCUCCUUAACCAAGAAAGCCUAUAUAUAUAUUAAAAAUUGAUGACGUGAUGUGUCGGAGGUUGAGGUGGCGUGUUGGACACGUGUCGGGCCGUGUCGGAGGUGUGUCGCCGUGUCAGGCGUGUCGGACACUCCGACACUCCAGAGGUGUGAAGUGUUCGUGCAACAUAGCUUUUAACUAUGAUUUUCAUAUCUAAAGUUGUUCUAGGACUCUAGGAGGUUUUCUUUGUAAUUUAUAUGGUAUUUUUCUUAUAUAUUAACUGAAAAUAAUUAAUUUAAGGAAAAAAUAAUUUACUAGUAGAAUGUAACAAUAAAAUCAAUGUUAUACCAUCAUAUAUAUAUGAACCUAUCUUCUAGUGUCGGAUAAGGGAUCUAUGAACUCUCCAGUACGUAUGAGACUGGAAAAUUGGUCACAGCGAUCAUGGAGACUCUAAAACUGACACAAUGCCAAUAAAGAUGAUAGAAUAACGUCGGUAUACCAAACGGCUAAUGAGUGAAUACACGUGAUUAUUUAAGCAAAAUACAACAUUAUUAAUUAUCACCGCUGCAUUAUGAUUAACUUUCUACAGAGUACAUGAUGUUGAUGAGUUUCUAUUGGAUUCUUGUAUGAUUGAAGAGCGGAUUUCAGCUAGUCAUUCAUUUUUGACAACACCAAUCGAUACAAUUCUAGCAUAAUAACUUAACAUAUAGCUAGUUAUUGCGGACUGGGGCUAUCAGGCUUUGAGCAAUAAUAACGUACAUGUGGUUGCGUGCAUGCUCACAGUGUAAAUUAGGUGACUAUCUAUCACGAUAUUUAUUUUGGUUCUUGAUUUGGUAUGGUAUGUCUGAUGGGUCCGAAGGACACAGAAGAAUGAAGAUACGGAGGAGUGAUACAACCCUUAAGCAGCGGUAACUCUAGAUUACUGGUUACUAGGUAGCUGGAAUUGACUUGAAUGAGUUUGAUCAAGAAAAAAAAAAAAAAAAAAAAAAAAACAAUGCGAGCUUACUGAAUCCAUGAGAAAGAUAAACUCGAUCUUAUAUUGAUAAAAUCAUGUUGAACUUAUAUGGUUCAACACAGAAACAAAAGCAAUGUUGGAAUACAGAAAAUAGAUAUAUGUAGUACUCAUACACGCUUAGGUCUCCCUUGAAUCAUUUCACUUUGGUUUCGAACCUUCCCUCCUCCAUGCUACUGAUUUUGUUUGAUAAAGCUAUUCGGUUUUUCUGAAGCUCAGUCGGGAGUUUAACGUCAGUUGCCAAACAAACCAUUUCAAGAAACCUUAUCAAAUACCAAGUAAUAUCGAUUUGCCACCAUUCGAAACCAUGUCGAGCUGAGUACUCAAAAGCAUGGUGAUUAUUAUGCCAACCUUCUCCAUGAGCUAGCAAUCCAAACAACCUAAACCACACAAUUCAUAAUUAGAUUUCAUUACAUGUAGAGAAAUAGAAACUAUAUAUAUACACUUUGUAAUCAUAUCAAGUGCGUAUACCAGUUGUUUUUGGACAAACCAGUAUCCCAUACUUGGUUUCGCCAUAUGUGGCAGAUCGAAUUUAUCGAAAGUGUUAUAUGGAGAACAAAUUUUGUUCUCACAGCCUACAAAUAAUCAAAAGAAUUAAACAUAGUUACGGAUUUGUUAAUAGAAAGGACGAUGCAUUUAGAUAUUAGCAAAUGUAUAUAAGAGAAGUUUAAUUACCAGUGCCCAAACUUAAUUAGGUAUUCCUCCUAUGCGAUAGAACACAACUCCACAAGCAAUACAGUGAAAAGGGUAAGUGUAAUGAAGAAACCUAUAGAAGCUUUGUUUCUUCAAAUCUCCAACAUUGUAUAGUUUUCCAUCAUACUGCACAAUUUCAAAUUUAAUUAACAAUAAGUACGUGUUAAUUCAACAAAAAAAUUAUGCAUGUAAUUAAUCAAGUGAGGAGAACAUGAGAUUUCUACGUACACUCCCAAAACGUUUACGAAAAUCAAAAAUCCCGCCAAUAUGACUAAACCAGAAACCCUUAAGAGGAGUAUGAGGGUCACUCGGCGUGUCUGUAAACUGGUGAUGACUCCUGUGCGAGCUAACCCAUUCUAAUGGACUUCCCUGUAAUAUAAACACCAAAAACCAACUUACAAAACUUUGUAAAUGAAGAUUGUAGUAACUAAAAGUGAAAAAGAAUGAAAGCUAGAGAAUAUAUGAUGAACCUGAAGUNAAUGAACGGCACAAUAGGNNNNNNNNNNNNNNNNNNNNCUACUACUCUCUACUCUCUCUCUCUCUCUCUCUCUCUCUCUCUCUCUCUCUCUCUCUCUCUCUCUCUCUCUCUCUCUCUCUCUCUCUCUCUCUCUCUCUCUAACUCAAACAAUUUGAAUACCUUUGUCUCGUCGAUCUCUCUCUCUCUCUCUCAUCUCAUUGAUAUGUCAUUUUCUUAUCAAAAUUGAUCUCGUUGCAAGAAACUAAUUCCUUUUGUAUGCUCUGUCUUCUCACUCCUCUCACAUAGUAUGUGAAUAUUCUAAUUCAAUUAAGUUCAAAGUCUACUAAUAUAUGAGUUAAGUCUACCAGUAACAUGAGCAAACUGACAUACAAAAAUAGACUUUCUGGAAAAUUAUUCUUCAUAAGAUGCAAAGUCUAGCUACUAGUAACAUGAAUUAAGUCUACCAGUAACAUGAGCUAACUAGCAUACAAAAAUAGACUUUCUGAAAAAUUGUUCACUCCUAAUGCUGGUCACUAGUCAUUAGUCACCUUAUUGACUACGUUGUCUAACUUGUUUUCUUUUCUGUCUACGUUUUGCACUAUUCACUCAAUAGCAACAUACACGGCUUAAAACAGACGAAAUACACGCUCAUGGUAACGUUUAGUGAAUUUUCAAACAUUGACUAUAUGCAGUUGAUGUGCUCAUAUUAUCUUAUAUUUCUAAGCGUCUUAUGCUUGAGAUUUGUGUUUAGUUCUCUUCUUUAUGAAUUAUUUACGUUAUUUUAGUGUUCUUGUAGGUUUGUGUCGUAUGGAGAAGAAAAUGAGCUAAAAUGCGCAAAUAAGGAUUCAAAGGCCACUGCAAUCCUAAGUCUCAAAAUCUGCAUGUGCAGAACAUCCAAACUUCUCUGAAUUACCGGGAAUUACUCAGAUCAAAUCAGACUAUGUGCCUUAUAUUAUUGGAAAACUACAUAUGUCUACUUUCUGUAGAAGUUUACGGAUCUCAAUUUCGAUACUUCUAGACCGAGUUAUGAUAGUUUGAAUGAAGAUAGGUCAAAUCAGAAAAUGUGCUCGGAUUUGCAAGCAUUUGUGGAGAACUCAAGUUCCAUGGCACAAGAUCAUCAACUCUAAUGCUUCAAGGGACAAUAAUGCAGAUGAGGAUUCAAGGAGUAAAUGUAUUCUUAGUUCUACAAUAGAUAUCUCAAGGUUUUCUCAUUCCAUAUCAAGAAAGGAGUCUGAAUCCAAGUCUUACAAAGAAACUUGAAGCCAAAGAUGAGUAGGAAAUCUCCCCUAUAUAAAGAGCACGAAUUUCAUAGAGAAGGGGCUUCCGGAGACGUGACAUAUUUGGAAGCUGUCAUCAUCACCAACCUUUCAUUCUUUUUCCCUUUUAGUCUUUUUAUGUUUUUCAUUGUUAUCAUCGUGUUUGUUAUGACUCUUAGUAACUAAAUCUUUUGUUAGGGUCAUAAUGAAUCCUUAGCAUGACUAUUUGAUGUUUUUAGUUGGAUGAUUACUUAUUUAUUGGAUUGAUGUUGAGUUUUUAAUCUCUAUAAGAAUUGUUGCUUAUUUCAAAAUACUAGAGACUCGCGACCUUUAGGGUUUUGUUUUAAGCUAUAUGAUGCAAGAGUAGGUAGAUGCCCAUGCUGAAUCUUGAAUGCUUCUUGUGAUUAAAAACCAUAGAUUGAUAAGAUAGAUGCCAUGUUUUAUUGGUUUGUGUGAGUCCUUUUGUUCUCAUCGAACUUCAUUGACCCUUAGAGAUUAGAUGCCAUACUUCUAAGAAUUGUUGGAUACUAUACUCUGUUAUAAGAUAGUAUUUAUGCUUUGGAGAACUUAUGUUUAUAAGUACUCUGCCAUAAGACUUAUAUGACGAAUUUUUCAACACCGGUUUAGUAGUUAGUAAUCGGAAGACUAGGAACUCGAAUAAGAUUGUGACGGUGAAGUUAGAAGCCCUAGCAUUCAUCCAUCAUUGUUUUACAACUUUUCAAAACAUCUUCUCAAUUAUCUUGUGUGACAUUCUCAAUUUGCUUGUUUUACUCUUUUCUUAUUGUUUACAAAAAUCACAAAAAUAUCUUCUUGUUUUCUUGUUAGUCGUUAGAGUAAUUUGGUCAUUAGUUAGAGUUGAAAGUUAGUUAUCUAUCCCUAGUUGGAACGACCUCGUAUUUGCAUAUAAGCUAUACUACAAACGAUUCGUGCACUUGCGAAGUUUUUAAAAUUUGACAACAGCAGUGUUCUAAAACAAGGUUGCCUAGGCGGCUUUUAGACGUUUUAAGUAUGAGCUUCAUCCUGAAAGGACCAGUGAAUUUUCAAACCUUACUUGUACCAGGUUUUAAAUUGUAUAGUUUGUCGAUUCACCAUUUUAAAAUAACUUAAAGCUGGCAAAAAAACUAGCUAGAUGUGUUGGAAACUUUAAAUUGAGUAUUCUCAUGCUCGAUCCAUAAUUUUUAAACACUAGUAGUCGAAUUUCUUCUCAAUCCUCCGAUCUCCUUGAUUACACCUUGGACAAAGUUGGAUGACAUCUUUUACAUAGUAUCGACAUGGCUUGUACACCGCAAAUUGAAUA